AGUUAUGCCAUUAAGGAGAGAAAGACAAAUAAAACAGGUAAUGUAAUGGUUGAGGUAUUAAGACCAAGAGAAAUUACUUUUAUGAGGUGAAAACAACACCAAAUAACAGGUUCUAUUAUAUAGCAGGUGAAACAACACCAAAUAACAGGUUCUAUUAUAUAGCAGGUGAAACAACACCAAAUAACAGGUUCUAUUAUAUAGCAGGUGAAACAACACCAUUAACAGCAGAGAUAAUGUAAAACAAGGGAUCAAAUCAGUAAGAGGUAGUUGUGCCAGUUAAUUACUUGCAUUCAUCAUAGAGCGAACUUAUCAUGCGAAAGGGUUCAGACACACAUCUUAUAGUUGAAAGCAAGUGUUAGGGCUGAAACUUGAAAAAUAACCACUAAAAAUAUUGCAAAUGGAAAAACUGAUUCAAAGAGUAUCAUGAGCAUCUGAUUAGAUCAGUCACAGUUGAGAAUCAAACAUAAAUUCUAGAAUACCAAAGGAGUUGAGAAAUGUCAAUUCAGAAAAGCAGAAUUAUCUUAUGAUUGACAUCAUUAAUUAAUUCACUACUAAAAUCCAUGCCCAUUUCAAUUGCCCUUCUUGUUAAAAAUCUUUCCAUGUUGAUAAUAACAAACAAUUAAACAUCUACACUCUAAAAGGGGCGACAAUUUGUUAUGUUCUUUUCAAGAAUAAGACUAUGAUUUCAACACAUUUCUCAAUCAGCACAAGAUGAAAAUAGUGGAAUCACGGUUAUCAUAUAGUCGGGAAUCAAUAAUUCACUCCUCAUUUAUU
Sesamum indicum (sesame) is the source of this 774-nucleotide non-coding RNA. The record is from RefSeq and is a predicted model, not a curated record. NCBI's taxonomy places the organism in Eukaryota, Viridiplantae, Streptophyta, Magnoliopsida, Lamiales, Pedaliaceae.